GUGGGGAAUCUUGCGCAAUGGGCGAAAGCCUGACGCAGCCAUGCCGCGUGAAUGAUGAAGGUCUUAGGAUUGUAAAAUUCUUUCACCGGGGACGAUAAUGACGGUACCCGGAGAAGAAGCCCCGGCUAACUUCGUGCCAGCAGCCGCGGUAAUACGAAGGGGGCUAGCGUUGCUCGGAAUUACUGGGCGUAAAGGGCGCGUAGGCGGACAGUUUAGUCAGUGGUGAAAGCCCAGGGCUCAACCUUGGAAUUGCCUUUGAUACUGGCUGUCUUGAGUACGGGAGAGGUGAGUGGAACUCCGAGUGUAGAGGUGAAAUUCGUAGAUAUUCGGAAGAACACCAGUGGCGAAGGCGACUCACUGGCCCGUUACUGACGCUGAGGCGCGAAAGCGUGGGGAGCAAACAGGAUUAGAAACCCUGGUAGUCC
This 425-nucleotide ribosomal RNA is filed under the name uncultured bacterium. Its description in RNAcentral is "partial 16S ribosomal RNA". It matches the Rfam family "Bacterial small subunit ribosomal RNA", at positions 354 to 796 of the family's 1533-position model. The record is from RNAcentral.